CAUGCCUGUAAUCCCAGCAUUUUGGGUGGCCGACAUGGGUGGAUCACCUGAGGUAAGGUGUUUGAGACCAGCCUGACCAACAUGGAGAAACCCCGUCUCUACCAAAAAUACAGAAUUAUCCGGGCACGGUGUCACCUGCCUGUAAUCCCAGCUACUCAGGAGGCUGAGGCAGGAGAAUUGCUUGAACCCGGGAGGCAUACGUUGCGGUGAGCCGAGAUCGUGCCAUUGCACUGCAGCCCGGGCAGCAAGAGUGAAACUCCGUCUCAAAAGAAAAAGAAGGCUGGGCGCGGUGGCUCAUGCCUGUAAUCCCAGCACUUUGGGAGGCUGAGGCAGGUGGAUCACCAGAUCAAAAGAUCGAGACCGUCCUGGCCAACAUGGUGAAACCCCGUCUCUACUAAAAAUACAAAAAUUAGCUGAGUGUGGUGGCGCAUGCCUGUAGUCCCAGCUACUCGGGAGGCUGAGGCAGGAGAAUCGCUUGAACCAGCGAGGUGGAGGUUGCAGUGAGCCGAGAUUGUGCCACUGCACUCCAGCCUGGUGACAGAGCAAGACGCCAUCUCAAAAAAAGAAAAAGAAAAAGAAAAUUGUUUUAAACUACAACAUGUCAAUGUUUAUUGGCCAAUUGUUGACAUAGGUAUAUUCUUCUUUCUGACUCCUGACUCUUCUGAAGUUGUCUACUGUCUUUGACAUUAAAGACACCAAUAAUGUAACCUCCCGAAAGUGCAAUAAUAUGAAAUAUUGAUUUAUUAAAAUGGAUUAAAAAAUUUAGAAAUGCUUACAAAGCCCACUGAAUAUAGGUUCCCAGGUUUUUUAUAGUUUUUAUAAUUUCUUUGCAAUGUUUGUAUUUCUCACCUACACAUAACUUGAGAGUAGUAGUUUUAGCACUUACCUUUAUUGAACCUUUGCAAGGUAUUCAACUUUUCAAAGGGUUAAUUUUUAUAGAAACUACUCUUUUCAUAUUCAUUGUUUUUAUCAAUAUACGUAAUAUUUAAAUAAUCCUGGCAGUAGUGUAACCACUACACCUGGCAUAACAUGUUGAAAUAUACACACCUGACCCUUGUUAGCACAACCUCCUGAUGCUGAGAAUGAGAACACAGAACACAGGCCUCUGAGUGGAAGCCCCUCUCCAGGAGCAUUCAGCAUACGACAGUCAUCAGCCAGUACAUUCUACAGAAGCUUGGAAAAGAUCGGUUUAUUUGGCAAAAUGGUUAAGUGAAAGCCAGCUGUGAAAGCCAUCUAUUUACAUAAAAAUGAUGAUUAUGGUUAUCUCUGUUUUGUGGGACUAUGAGUAAUUUUAGCUUUUCCUUUGCUUAUUUGUAUAUUUAAAAUAUUCCUCUAUAGUUUUUAACAGGAAAAAAUUAUAUUAAACACAAAUAGCUGGGUAAGAUAAUAAAAUGAUAGUAACUAAACCAGUGUGAUAAUAGGCCAGUGGAAUAGAAGAGAAAGUUUCCAAAACAAAUCGUAUUAUUUAUAAGGGAUUAUACUUAAAAUAGAAUAUACCUAAAAUGAAUAAGGAAGGAAAGAGUCCAUUUAAUAAAUUGUAAUUUAGGACAAUGGGCUUUCAAUUUGAAAACAAAUCUAAGUCAAAUCUAAAUGGAUUUAGGAUUUUUUUAUUAUUAUUAGACCAGGGAAAGGUCAGGAGGAGGAGUGGAGAGGAUCUGAUAAAAUUAGAAAGAUUAGAAGAAAUAAUAGAAAUGAUAGACUUGAAAUAAUAGGAUGAUGGAAAUGAUAGGUGGGGAUUAGGGAGAUGCACGUCUCACAUUUCCUGGAAAUUGUGAUGUGUGAGGCCCAUUUCAGAUGCAUUUCCUAAGCAUGCUCACAGCAGCGUGCUAAAUGUAUCCACUUUCAUUCAACAAGCAUUUCCUGAGACCUCUUCUGGUCAGCCAGAGUUAUAUUCUGGGAGCUCAGUUCUAAAUACUCCCUGAUCUUAAGUAGCUCACAGCCUAAUGAGGGACGCAGAGAGCAGUGAUAGUAGAGAGUGCUUUGGAGCACACAGGAAGGUGUUGAGGUCAUUAGGAGAAACUGUCUCAGCUGAGUCUUGAAGGAUAAGCAGGGAUUAGCCAGAUGAUGAAGGGGUGGGAGGGUGAUUCUACCCAGAAUAGAAGCACUUUGGCACUCAUAUAGCAACAUGAGGAACAGAAGUCAUUCAGGAUGUCCAGAGCAAAGAAGAUGUGCGUUUGCACCAAGAGGUGACCCUGGAGAGGAUACAGGACUCUUACAUGUGUGUUCAGACCUAAAGUGUGUGUUGUGGGGAGCCUGUGACAGGUUGUAAGCAGAGGAGCAAUCUAGCCAUAUGGAGACUGCGUUGAGAGUGGAAAUCUAGAAGAGAAAGACUUGGGAGGAAGGAAGCCUGAGCCGGGGCCUAAGAGGAGGACUGGAAAAGAGCAGGAUUCCAGCGAGAAAUCCAACAGGCUUGGUGACUAAUGAAAUUGGAGGGAAAGGGAAAAUAAAUCAUGAAGGCCUAUACUCAGGAUGACGUGUGCCAUCUCUUCAUUUAGAGAUGGGGGCUUUUGCCAGAUGGUCAAAUUCAUCUAAGCUCUGAUUCUCUACUUCAUUGAAUAUUGGAAAUAUUUACCUUUUCUGUUCCAUGCUAACUGUUGUAAAAUCUCUGUAGUGAUAGGAAGGAGUCCAUUAGAGUUAGAGGUCCUGAAAAUAUUUAUCUGUGCCAGCAAAAAAUGUUUUCCACUCCCUGAUAAUGAUUUCUGGUUUUCAGCUCCCCACAUAACAAAGGCGUGUGUCGCUUAGGUAGUUGUAGACAAACCUCUCAAUGACUCCAACUCUACUCUUCUACAUUGUCAUGCUAACCAUUGGUGUGCUUCUAUGCUAACAAGAAAUAACAUGCAAUAUGUUUUUAGUGUCUGUUUAUAUAUUUAUGCUGCUUUUGUUUUCCAAGAAGGCAUAUAUACAAAAAGAUUUUUUUUAACCCCAGGCUGGAGUGCAGUGAUCCCAUCAUAGCUCACUGCAGCCUCAAACUCCAUAGCUCAAGCGAUCCUCCCACCUCAGCCUCUAGAAUAGCUGAGACUACAGGCAUGCACCUUCACACCCAGCUUUUUUUUUUUUUUUUUUUUUUUUUGGAAAGGCAGGGUCUCGCUUUGUUGCCCAGGCUGGUCUCCAACUCCUGGAUUCAAGCAAUCUUCCCAACUCAGACUCCCAAAGUGCUGAGAUUACAGGUGUGAGCCACCAUGCCCAGCCCGAAAAGAUUAUUAAACUAAAAAUAUAAAAGCAAAGACAUAAACAGGAAGAAACAAAUAUGCUGGACUCUGGGACUAAUAUGGUCACAGUGCAUUGAAGCCUUAAAUUCUUUCAGCUUUCUUAGCAACCUGAUAGGAAAGGAAAACACAAAGAUCGAUAGAAUUUUAUUCUCUGGUAGAAGAAGGUUUAUGCAUUCUUCAGUUUACUGUGGAAGCAAAAAUAACCCACAUAUGGCUCUUAAAUUGGGAUUUGGGGAUGCUAAGCUGGGGAAGUCCCAGCAUGUAAUUUCCUGAUGCUUUCACUGAAGUUGUUACCUCAUACCUUAUUUAGAUCUGUUUCUACUAUGAGUUACACGACAUGGUUCUUGGGUGUAAAUAAAACAGAAAGAUAAGUCUUCAUUUAUUUCGGAUACAUUCACUGAGUUCUACAUUAGCUAAGAAUACCAGAAUAAGAGACCCAGCCUCUGCUCUCUGAAAACUCACACCAUAUUUAGGAAGCAAAGGAGUAAGGAGGUGGGGCUGUAAUAAGCAAAUAAGCCUUUGGGGAAAGGGAAGUAGAGAGUGUUCCAAGGAGGAAUAGCGUGUGUGAAGAAAUGAUGAUGUGUCUGUGAAUCUGUACUGAAGUGUAGGUGUGGGGACAUGAAAUUGGAGCGGUCAGUAGGGAUCAGAUCUCGAGGGUCUUGCAGGCCACCCUAACGGUCUUGAUUUUAUGCUGCAGAAAAUGAGGACUUGCUGAAAGAUUUUAACCAAAGGAAUGUUUGGAGAUAUUUGCCUUUCAGGGGAAAAAUUACCCUGACAACAGUGGGGAGUAUGGCAUGGGGUGAGUUGCUUCUGGGCCAGGAAAACAAAGUGAAGAGACCAUUGUAAAUAUACCAUGUGAUUCAGAAUGAGAAUUCCAACUAGGGCACUAGCAAUAAGAAUGGAGAGAAAAGGCAGGAGAAUCGCUUGAACCUGGGAGGCGGAGGUUGCAGUGAGCUAAGAUUGUGCCACUGCACUCCAGCCUGGGUGACAGAGCAGGACUCAUCUCAAAAAAAAAAAAAAAAAAAAAAGAAUGGAGAGAAAGGGAUAUAUUUAAAAGCUAAUGGAGGGAUAGAAUCAUCAAAAACGGAUGAUUGGUUGGUGUAAGGGGCCAAGUGAAAGAAAGACAGGAGUGAAGCGUGAAUCUCCAGGUCCUGGUUUGCAUGCAAUGCUGCAUUGGAAAAUAAUUUACUUUUCACCUGGAAAGAACCACUUUAAGAUGAAGCCGUAUUUACUUUCAUAAAGAGACAAGAUAAAAUAACAGAAAAAGCACUGAUGUAGGAUUUGGAGUAUUUGAAUUUAUUGCCAGUGCCUCCAGUCCAGUCAUGGGUUGUUUGUCCUCUCUGCCUAUUUUCUUGACUAUAAAAUGUUAUAUGCUCAGCCUGUGCUGUAGGACUACGAUGAUAAAUAAAUGAACUUAGGGGAUAGGAAUAUGCUUCGAAAGCAGUUAAAUACAACAGAGUUGUUAUCUCCUUAUUUUCUGAUGCCUAAAGGAGACAGCAUCGUAUAAGGAAGAGAACAAAGGUUUGGCACUAUGGAUAUAGAUUUGAAUCUGUCUCUGCCUCUUGCUGUAGAAGCUGGGUAACCUGCGAAAGCCACAAAAGCUUUUUGAGGCUCAGGAUCUUCCUUUGUAAAAUGGGAAUAGUCAUGUUUUAUAGGGAUUGUGUAAGACAAUGAUAAUUUUUUCAUUUCACUCAUUCAUUAGCUAACAGAUAUUUAAUGAGUACCUACUACGUGUUAGAAGCCAAGAAUAUAAAAGUGAACAGAACAAGCUAGAGUCUCCACGCUAGUUUUAUGUAUAAAAGCUAAUGGUGGCUAGGCGCGGUGGCUCACAUCUGUAAUCCUAGGACUUUGGGAGGCCAAGGCGGGUGGAUCACUUGAGGUGAGGAGUUUGAAACCAGCCUGGGCAACAUGGUGAAACUACAUCUCUACUAAAAAUACAAAAAAUUAGCUGGGUGUGAUGGCGGGCACCUGCAAUCCCAGCUACUCGGGAGGCUGAGGCAGGAGAAUCUCUUGAAUCGGGGAGGCGGAGGUUGCAGUGAGCCGAGAAUGUGCCACUGCACUCCAGCCUGGGCGACAGAGCAAGACUCCAUUUAAAAAAAAAAAAAAAGCUAAUGGUGGGAUGAUAUGAUUGAAAUGGC
This 5347-nucleotide long non-coding RNA is filed under the name Homo sapiens (human). RNAcentral describes it as "HSALNT0153494". The record is from RNAcentral. Lineage: Eukaryota; Metazoa; Chordata; Mammalia; Primates; Hominidae.